ACGAACGCUGGCGGCGUGCUUAACCCAUGCCAGUCGCACGGAAAGGCCCUGCUUUUGUGGGGUGCUCGAGUGGCGAACGGGUGAGUAACACGUGAGUAACCUGCCCUUGACUUUGGGAUAACUUCAGGAAACUGGGGCUAAUACCGGAUAGGAGCUCCUGCUGCAUGGUGGGGGUUGGAAAGUUUCGGCGGUUGGGGAUGGACUCGCGGCUUAUCAGCUUGUUGGUGGGGUAGUGGCUUACCAAGGCUUUGACGGGUAGCCGGCCUGAGAGGGUGACCGGCCACAUUGGGACUGAGAUACGGCCCAGACUCCUACGGGAGGCAGCAGUGGGGAAUAUUGCACAAUGGGCGGAAGCCUGAUGCAGCAACGCCGCGUGCGGGAUGACGGCCUUCGGGUUGUAAACCGCUUUCACCUGUGACGAAGCGUGAGUGACGGUAAUGGGUAAAGAAGCACCGGCUAACUACGUG
This 467-nucleotide ribosomal RNA is filed under the name uncultured bacterium. RNAcentral's name for it is "partial 16S ribosomal RNA". It matches the Rfam family "Bacterial small subunit ribosomal RNA", at positions 29 to 507 of the family's 1533-position model. The record is from RNAcentral.